RNAcentral lists this ribosomal RNA (2783 nucleotides) under Lactobacillus johnsonii pf01. RNAcentral's name for it is "bacterial LSU rRNA". It matches the Rfam family "Bacterial large subunit ribosomal RNA". The record is from RNAcentral. Lineage: Bacteria; Bacillati; Bacillota; Bacilli; Lactobacillales; Lactobacillaceae.
AGGGCGCAUGGUGAAUGCCUUGGCACUAGAAGCCGAUGAAGGACGUGACGAACCACGAAAGGCUUCGGGGAGCAGUAAGUAAGCAAUGAUCCGGAGAUAUCCGAAUGGGGGAACCCAAUACCGUGAGGUAUUAUCAUUAACUGUUAAGGUUAAUGAAGGAAGACGCAGUGAACUGAAACAUCUAAGUAGCUGCAGGAAGAGAAAGAAAAAUCGAUUUCCCAAGUAGCGGCGAGCGAACAGGAAAGAGCCCAAACCAGCUGGCUUGCCAGUUGGGGUUGUAGGACUGCGAUAUAGUACUUGAAGUGAUAGCAGAAUUAUCUGGAAAGAUAAGCCAGAGAGGGUGAGAGCCCCGUACGCGAAAUUGCGGAGAGACUUAGCAGGAUCCUGAGUAGGUCGGGACACGAGGAAUCCCGAUUGAAACCGCGAGGACCAUCUCGCAAGGCUAAAUACUAACUAGUGACCGAUAGUGAACCAGUACCGUGAGGGAAAGGUGAAAAGAACCCCGGAAGGGGAGUGAAAAGAGAACCUGAAACCGUGUGCCUACAAGUAGUCAGAGCACAUUAAAGUGUAAUGGCGUGCCUUUUGUAGAAUGAACCGGCGAGUUACGUUAUGGUGCAAGGUUAAGUCAGAAAAGACGGAGCCGGAGCGAAAGCGAGUCUGAAUAGGGCGAAAGAGUAUCAUGACGUAGACCCGAAACCAAGUGACCUACCCAUGACCAGGUUGAAGGCGUGGUAAAACACGCUGGAGGACCGAACCCACGUGAGUUAAAAAUCGCGGGGAUGAGUUGUGGGUAGCGGUGAAAUUCCAAACGAACUUGGAGAUAGCUGGUUCUCUCCGAAAUAGCUUUAGGGCUAGCCUCGUGUGAAUGAUAAUGGAGGUAGAGCGCUGUUUGGACUAGGGGCCCGUCAGGGGUUACUGAAUCCAGAUAAACUCCGAAUGCCAGAUAUCAAUGCACGGGAGUCAGACUGCGAGUGAUAAGAUCCGUAGUCGAAAGGGAAACAGCCCAGAUCACCAGUUAAGGUCCCCAAAUCUAUGCUAAGUGGAAAAGGAUGUGGAGUUGCGUAGACAACUAGGAUGUUGGCUUAGAAGCAGCCACCAUUUAAAGAGUGCGUAAUAGCUCACUAGUCGAGUGACGCUGCGCCGAAAAUGUACCGGGGCUAAGCAUAGUACCGAAACUGUGGAUGCAUAUAUUAUAUGCGUGGUAGGAGAGCGUUCUAAGUGCGGCGAAGUUAGAUCGAGAGGACUAAUGGAGCGCUUAGAAGUGAGAAUGCCGGUAUGAGUAGCGAAAGAUAGGUGAGAAUCCUAUCCGCCGAAAGACUAAGGUUUCCUGGGGCAGGCUCGUCCGCCCAGGGUAAGUCGGGACCUAAGGUAAGGCCGAGAGGCGUAGCCGAUGGACAACAGGUAGAAAUUCCUGUACUGAAAUUGUUCGAUAUGAGCAAAGGAGGGACGCAGGAGGCUAAUGACGCAUGUUGCUGGAAAUACAUGUGCAAGCAGUAAGAAAAAAGAUGAGUCAAAUGCUUGUCUUUAGAUUUCAAGCUGUGAUGCGGAGCGAAAUAAAAGUAGCGAAGGUCAUGAUGUCACACUGCCAAGAAAAGCUUCUAGCCAGAACAAUUUUACCCGUACCGCAAACCGACACAGGUAGUCGAGUGGAGAACACUCAGGUGAGCGAGAGAACUCUCGUUAAGGAACUCGGCAAAAUGACCCCGUAACUUCGGGAGAAGGGGUGCUGAUAGUAAAAUAUCAGCCGCAGUGAAUAGGCCCAAACAACUGUUUAUCAAAAACACAGGUAUCUGCAAAAUCGUAAGAUGACGUAUAGGUGCUGACACCUGCCCGGUGCUGGAAGGUUAAGAGGAGAGCUUAGCGUAAGCGAAGGUUUGAAUUGAAGCCCCAGUAAACGGCGGCCGUAACUAUAACGGUCCUAAGGUAGCGAAAUUCCUUGUCGGGUAAGUUCCGACCUGCACGAAAGGUGUAAUGAUUUGGGCACUGUCUCAACGAGAGACUCGGUGAAAUUAUAAUACCCGUGAAGAUGCGGGUUACCCGCGACAGGACGGAAAGACCCCAUGGAGCUUUACUGUAGCUUGAUAUUGAGUAUUUGUUAAACAUGUACAGGAUAGGUAGGAGCCAGAGAAAGUAGGACGCUAGUCUUACCGGAGGCAAUGUUGGGAUACUACCCUUGUUUGAUGGAUCCUCUAACUCACAGAGCUGAGCGUUCUGGAGGACAGUGUCAGGUGGGCAGUUUGACGUGGGGCGGUCGCCUCCUAAAGUGUAACGGAGGCGCCCAAAGGUUCCCUCAGAAUGGUUGGAAAUCAUUCGCAGAGUGUAAAGGUAUAAGGGAGCUUGACUGCGAGAGCUACAACUCGAGCAGGGACGAAAGUCGGGGCUUAGUGAUCUGGUGGUACUGCAUGGAAAGGCCAUCACUCAACGGAUAAAAGCUACCCUGGGGAUAACAGGCUUAUCUCCCCCAAGAGUUCACAUCGACGGGGAGGUUUGGCACCUCGAUGUCGGCUCGUCGCAUCCUGGGGCUGAAGUCGGUCCCAAGGGUUGGGCUGUUCGCCCAUUAAAGCGGCACGCGAGCUGGGUUCAGAACGUCGUGAGACAGUUCGGUCCCUAUCCGUCGUGGGCGUAGGAAAUUUGAGAGGAGCUGUCCUUAGUACGAGAGGACCGGGAUGGACAUACCGCUGGUGUACCAGUUGUCUUGCCAAAGGCAUCGCUGGGUAGCUAUGUAUGGAAGGGAUAAGCGCUGAAAGCAUCUAAGUGCGAAGCCCCCCUCAAGAUGAGAUUUC